This 232-nucleotide ribosomal RNA is filed under the name uncultured bacterium. RNAcentral's name for it is "partial 16S ribosomal RNA". It matches the Rfam family "Bacterial small subunit ribosomal RNA", at positions 923 to 1163 of the family's 1533-position model. The record is from RNAcentral.
GCACAAGCAGUGGAGUAUGUGGUUUAAUUCGACGCAACGCGAAGAACCUUACCAAGUCUUGACAUCCUGCGACGCACAUAGAAAUAUGUGUUUCCUUCGGGACGCAGAGACAGGUGGUGCAUGGUUGUCGUCAGCUCGUGUCGUGAGAUGUUGGGUUAAGUCCCGCAACGAGCGCAACCCUUAUGGUCAGUUACUACGCAAGAGGACUCUGGCCAGACUGCCGUUGACAAAA